GCCAGUAUGGUGUAGUGGUUUGAGUGCUGGACUAUAACUCCGGAGAGCAGGGUCGACUCCCAGCUUGGCC
This is a non-coding RNA of Phrynosoma platyrhinos (Desert horned lizard), 70 nucleotides long. The record is from the annotation of a GenBank genome assembly. NCBI's taxonomy places the organism in Eukaryota, Metazoa, Chordata, Lepidosauria, Squamata, Phrynosomatidae.